This 65-nucleotide transfer RNA is filed under the name Dipodomys ordii (Ord's kangaroo rat). It matches the Rfam family "tRNA". From Rfam's summary of the family: Transfer RNA (tRNA) molecules are approximately 80 nucleotides in length. The record is from Rfam by way of RNAcentral. Lineage: Eukaryota; Metazoa; Chordata; Mammalia; Rodentia; Heteromyidae.
GGUGGCUCAGUAGUAGAGCACUUGUCUUGCAGGCAUGAGGCUCUGGGUUCGAUUCCUCAGCACCA